CAGGUUUACCUGUGUGACUGCGUACCUUUUGUAUAAUGGGUCAGCGACUUAUAUUCUGUAGCAAGGUUAACCGUAUAGGGGAGCCGUAGGGAAACCGAGUCUUAACCGGGCGUUAAGUUGCAGGGUAUAGACCCGAAACCCGGUGAUCUAGCCAUGGGCAGGUUGAAGGUUGGGUAACACUAACUGGAGGACCGAACCGACUAAUGUUGAAAAAUUAGCGGAUGACCUGUGGCUGGGGGUGAAAGGCCAAUCAAACCGGGAGAUAGCUGGUUCUCCCCGAAAGCUAUUUAGGUAGCGCCUCGUGAAUUCAUCUCCGGGGGUAGAGCACUGUUUCGGCUAGGGGGCCAUCCCGGCUUACCAACCCGAUGCAAACUGCGAAUACCGGAGAAUGUUAUCACGGGAGACACACGGCGGGUGCUAACGUCCGUCGUGAAGAGGGAAACAACCCAGACCGCCAGCUAAGGUCCCAAAGUCAUGGUUAAGUGGGAAACGAUGUGGGAAGGCCCAGACAGCCAGGAUGUUGGCUUAGAAGCAGCCAUCAUUUAAAGAAAGCGUAAUAGCUCACUGGUCGAGUCGGCCUGCGCGGAAGAUGUAACGGGGCUAAACCAUGCACCGAAGCUGCGGCAGCGACGCUGAUGCGUUGUUGGGUAGGGGAGCGUUCUGUAAGCCUGCGAAGGUGGCCUGUGAGGGUUGCUGGAGGUA
This 702-nucleotide ribosomal RNA is filed under the name Salmonella enterica. Its description in RNAcentral is "partial 23S ribosomal RNA". It matches the Rfam family "Bacterial large subunit ribosomal RNA", at positions 580 to 1281 of the family's 2925-position model. The record is from RNAcentral. Lineage: Bacteria; Pseudomonadati; Pseudomonadota; Gammaproteobacteria; Enterobacterales; Enterobacteriaceae.